UACGUAGGGCGCAAGCGUUAUCCGGAAUUAUUGGGCGUAAAGAGCUCGUAGGCGGUUUGUCGCGUCUGCCGUGAAAGUCCGGGGCUCAACUCCGGAUCUGCGGUGGGUACGGGCAGACUAGAGUGAUGUAGGGGAGACUGGAAUUCCUGGUGUAGCGGUGAAAUGCGCAGAUAUUGGGAGACACCAGCGGCGAAGGCGGCACUCUGGCUGGUACUGACGCUGAGGAGCGAAAGCGUGGGUAGCGAACAGG
This 250-nucleotide ribosomal RNA is filed under the name uncultured bacterium. Its description in RNAcentral is "partial 16S ribosomal RNA". It matches the Rfam family "Bacterial small subunit ribosomal RNA", at positions 524 to 776 of the family's 1533-position model. The record is from RNAcentral.